Long non-coding RNA from Piliocolobus tephrosceles (Ugandan red Colobus), 1936 nucleotides. Lineage: Eukaryota; Metazoa; Chordata; Mammalia; Primates; Cercopithecidae. The record is from Ensembl.
CCUGUUUUAAAAAAGUGCUAGUAAUUAUAGCGUGUUGUUAUAAAGUACUUAUGAAAAAAACAGAGAACAGAGAACAGAGAACAUAACAGAACAGAAUAGGUAAGCACACGAGAUGUUGAAAAAUAAUGUUUAUAUAAAAUUGACACAGCUCAAAAGAACCAUAUAGAAUAAUAGUUAUAUGCCUUGUUCAAAUAAUUUGAUAAAAUAUAAUACUUUGUAGUAAUUAGAGACAUAAAAUGUAUGCUAAUCAAAAUAUAAAAGAUUAUAAUUAUAAUAUUAACAAAACGGAGUUGAAGGAUGCUAUAAAAAAUAAAUAUUUAAAUUAUGAAAACCACAUGGAUGUUCAUAAAAAUGUGUCGAAUCAUUCACCUGACGAAUAUUAUAUAAUGUCAGGGGAAAAACAUGUGAAUGAUGUAUAUCUAAGUACUGCUAUGACAACUGCUAUGGCAACUAAUGCGACAACUGCUACGAUAACUGCUGCUACUCUUGGUACUACAAAUAAAUAUAACAAUAACCACAGCUGUGACCGUUUUAGCAAUAGUAAACACACUGACACUUGUAGUAACACAACUAUAAUAAAUAGUAUUAACAAUAAUGCAAGUGAAACUAGUAGUAAUCAUGACGAUAUAAACACCCAUGAGGUACAUAAUAACAAGCAUAAUAAUAUUUUCAGAAAUGUUGAAAAAGGAAUAAAAUAUACGAAUAUGGAUUGUACCACAUCACCCAAACAGUACAAACAUGAUACAGAAACGUGUGCUCACUCUGACUUCAUAAAAAUAAAUAGAAACGACAGUAUAGACAAUUACAAACACUAUUACCAUGAUUAUGAUAACUAUACUGAUACUAUGUAUAAAUAUAACAAUGUCAGAAACAGUUUUCAUAAAUACGAAAGCACUUCCAAUUGUAACAAUAACAAAAAAGAAUAUUUCCAAUGUAAAGAGACUAGCACAAUUGAUGAUCGUUUUUCUAAUUACAUGAUAAAAGAAGAAAAAAAUAAAAACUCAUUAAAAAAAAAUAAUAGUAACGCAUUGCCAUUACAUUAUUAUGAUAAAAUUUUAAAUGGUAGUUGUUCACCUAGUAACGACAAAAAAGAAAAAAACAUUUUUAGUAGUUUACAAAAUGGUGCACAUAACAGCACACAAAUCGAUACACAUAGUAAUAAUAACAAUAAUACUAACGGAAUCAAAAUAUAUCAAAUGUUUAGAAACUUAAAUAGGAACAAUAAUAACAACACAAAUUUGGGAAUUAUAAAUUUUUUAAAAAAUAAAAAAAAUAAGAAAUAUCUUUACGAUAACAAAGGUAUAAAAAAUGAUACUAACAGCAGUGAAAUAAUAAGCGCUGAACACAAACAAAAUCUUAACUCCAAUUUGAACAUAUCAAAAGUUUCAAAAUGUACCUUUUACAAUAGCUCACCAGCAUUAAAAGACUGUAGUAUAAUACAUGUUAAAGAAAAUAUAAAAAAUAAAAUGCCGUCAGCUUUUAAUUUAAGCGAACGAAAUUACAUAGAAGAAAAUAAAAUAAACAACUAUGAUAGACAAAUGUUGUUAAAUAUAUCAUCUAACAUAAAUUAUUUCGAAACAUCAAAAUCUGUACACAGCAUGAAUGAUACACAACAGGUGCAUAUUAUACAUGACUUACAAGAACAUAAAGAAAGGGAAAAGAAGAGUCAAAUGCAUAUCAGUAGUAUCAAUAAAAAAAAGCUGAGUGAUAAUUUAAAACAAGAUAAACAAAUACCAAAUACAUAUACUGAUAAAUAUCUAAGUAAUGUACCAGCACCACAAACAAAUCCAUUUAUUUCGCAUUACUGCGUAAAUGAAGAACAGGUUGAAAGUACAAGCAAUAAAAUAUCAAGUGAUUCUUUUAAACAUAUUGUUAAAAAAAAAAUAGUUAAUAACAAUAAAGAUAUUAAUAUCAAGCAUGAACAUGACACAAGGCA